GCGACAUUAGCUCAGUUGUGCUCGUAGAAAAAAACGAUACCCUCUUUUUUGCCAAGGUAUAGGUCAUCGGUUGUUUGUUUCGAACCCGGUAUGUCGUU
Molecule: transfer RNA, 98 nt
Filed under: Shewanella benthica
Lineage: Bacteria; Pseudomonadati; Pseudomonadota; Gammaproteobacteria; Alteromonadales; Shewanellaceae
Description: tRNA-OTHER
Source: RNAcentral